CCUACGGGAGGCAGCAGUAGGGAAUUUUCGGCAAUGGGUGGAACCCUGACCGAGCAAUGCCGCGUGAAUGAAGAAGUCAUUCGUAAUGUAAAGUUCUUUUAACAGGGAAGAAAGAGAUAUUUGACGUUACCUGAAGAAUAAGCUCUGCCAAACUAGGUGCCAGCAGCCGCGGUAAUACGUAGGGACCGGGCGUUACCCGGAUUCAUUGGGCGAAAAGGGUGCGUAGAUGGGAUAGUAGGUCGUUGGUAAAAAUGAUGGCCUCAACCCAGUAGGGCAAAAGAUACUGUAAAGCUAGAGUAUGGCAGAGGUGAGUGGAACUACAGGUGUAGCGGUAAAAUGCGUAGAGAUAUGUAAGAACACCAGUGGCGAAGGCGGCUUGCUGGAUCGAUACUGACAUUGAGGCACGAAAGCGUGGGUAGCAAACAGGAUUAGAUACCCCUGUAGUC
Molecule: ribosomal RNA, 446 nt
Filed under: uncultured bacterium
Lineage: Bacteria
Description: partial 16S ribosomal RNA
Rfam family: Bacterial small subunit ribosomal RNA
Source: RNAcentral